GAUGAACGCUAGCGGCAGGCCUAAUACAUGCAAGUCGAGGGGCAGCGAUUCAAACUUGUUUGAAGUCGGCGACCGGCGCACGGGUGCGUAACGCGUAUGCAAUCUACCUUUUACAAAGGGAUAGCCCGGGGAAACCCGGAUUAAUACCUUAUAGUGUUAUAAUGUGGCAUCAUAUAAUAACUAAAGAUUUAUUGGUAAAAGAUGAGCAUGCGUCCAAUUAGCUAGAUGGAGAGGUAACGGCUCCCCAUGGCGAUGAUUGGUAGGGGUUCUGAGAGGAUGAUCCCCCACACUGGUACUGAGACACGGACCAG
Molecule: ribosomal RNA, 311 nt
Filed under: uncultured bacterium
Lineage: Bacteria
Description: bacterial SSU rRNA
Rfam family: Bacterial small subunit ribosomal RNA
Source: RNAcentral